UAACAGUAAACUUGCCUUCUUACUCGCUUACCAAUACCUUUGGGGGUCCAUAAGGAUCCCCCAUACGCGUGGAUCCAAUAUCCAAUUUAUCAUUUAAUUGACUGUUCUCAUAUCCCAUUCGAUAAUUGGUGUCAAACAUACCACCGCCUCAAUACCAUGUCCGGUAUGAUGGUGAACUAUACCUCUUAACCUCUUCUGGUAUGGAAUUUCUUAGCUCUGUUCGACUAAGAUAAUGUCCACAGUAGAGUUUUUUCUAUGCACUUGGUCUGUACACUGUUCUCCAAGGUACUCAAUAAACCUUCAUACAUAUAUCCACAUUAUUAAUCAAUCACCAAUUACAUACCAACAUUUCAUAUUUACAGAUCAAUAGUAAGUUAUGCAAAUAAACAACAUAAAAAAUAAAAAAAAAACAUGAUUAGAACAUUUGUUUCGAAUAAGUCAAUAGGUGAGAAUAAUCAGCCAAGUAAUCAAUGAACGAGAAAGUAAUUUAAAUCAAUAAAUAAUAGCAAUUUAGGUAGUAUAGGAAUAAAUAGACAACACAACUAGGACAAAUAUACACUAACCGAUUCUGACUCCAUUGAUGACUUGUAAUUAAGUUAAAAAUUUUAAUUUUUAUAAACACACUAUUAUUAAUUAUUAAAAUUUAAUUUACUGCAAUAGGAGAAAAGAGUGAGGGAUUCUUACAUUAGAUCGGUAUUCAAAAUAUCGUUUUUUUCAAUGCGCUUCCUAGCAGUCUUCAAGUUUCCUGAGUUUUUUCUGCAAAAAUUAAAAACACAUGUUACGUAUUUUAAAAUACCCCAAAAAGGCCAAAAUGAGCACUUUUAAAUUUUUCUGGCCAGUUUAGGGUUCCGGCACUGCAGUGCCAUUGAGCUCCGGUGUAGGCUCCGCCGCCCACGAUGACAUUUUCUCUCGGCCUAGCCGUUUUUAGCCAGUUUUGGCCGGUUUUGCAUGCAAAACCUGUAAAAAAUAGGAUUAGGGAGCCUUUUUUGGUUUGAAAAGGGAAGAACCGAAACCCUAACCAGUAGAGGAAUUUUCUGGUGCGGCAGCUCCAUCGUUCCUUUCUUACGGUCGGGGCUUCCCUUCAGUUAACCCGCAAUAGAAUGAUACAAGGAACACGAAGGUCAAAAAAAUGAGAGAAACGGAAAACAGGAAGGAGCUCAUUGGAGGACAUUUUAGGUUGCGGUCGCAAUGGCUCGGUCGAGUUCUGCUCGCAUUUUUUGGCUCAUCUUUUGGCUUUUGGCUCCGAUAUGGGUGUGGGGACGUUCAAAAUUCAAUUUCGAACAAAAAGAGAAAUUAUUUUUACCUUUUCAGCAUUGGUGGUGGCUUUGGUGCAGCGGCGACAGUGGCUAGUCUUCUUUUCUGGCGACUGAUUCGAUUUUCAGCCACCCCACUGUUUCUUCUCUGAUCUUCUCUUUGGCAGCUAGGGUUAGGGUUUCUUAUGAAGGGGAGUUUAAAUACUCAUCUUCAUUAAAUCUAGAUCGUCCGUUCGAGGAGACGUGACCCAUCCUCAACUAUUUGAUCGCUCUUAUUUGAAAAAUUAAUAUGUGCUGCACGAUUUGUUCAAAUCCAGCCGUUCGAUCGCGCCUAAAGAGAAAUCGGAUCUGGGUCAUCCGUGUGCACAAAAUGCGAUCUGGGUCGUUGGAUCUGCUGGCACGCAAAUCGCGUGCGUGGCCUCUCACAUGGACGCGUGUUUAUGUGUCUGCCAUGCGGCGCGCGGAGACCAACCACAUCGAUGACAUGGUAGUCCAUGUGGGCAAAAUUUUAUUAAUUUUGUUUUCGCUCCAAUUUUUCAGAUUUCUUUUCAACUAGGUCCUCCUUUAUCUAUACUUUAGUCUUGAUUUUUGAAAAUAUUUUUAAAUGCAUCCCAAAUCCUAAUUUUCUUAAAAAAUUAAAAUUAAAAUUAUUUUAAUAUAUUAUUCCAUAUAUAUUAAAUUAUUUCGGGCCAAAUUUUGGGGUCUGAGUGUUACAAUUCUCCCCCUUUAAGAAAAAAAUUUGGUCUCUCAAAUUUGUCACUUUCUCACUGGUCAAACAGUUGGGUUACUGGAUCCUGAAGUCUGAUUUUAACUCUCAAGUGUCCUCAUCGUUCAAGUGAUUCUGUCAUAAGAUCUUGACGAAUAAAAUUUCUCUGUUGUGAAGCACUCUGCUCUUCCACUCGAAAAACAGUUACUGGUACUUCCUCAUAGGAUAGAUCCCUCCUAAAGUGAAAAGUGGCUCAUGAGACAAGAUAUGUGAGGGGUUUUGGAUUGUACUUGCGUAUCAUAAACGCAUGGGAAUAUAUUAUGGACUUCAGAUAACUCUGGAGGNNNNNNNNNNNNNNNNNNNNNNNNNNNNNNNNNNNNNNNNUACUGGGUCGUCGUAUAAUGUCUGAAUGGAGUCAUGUGAUACUUGCUUGAUAAUUAUUAUGUAGGCAUACUCUAUCAGGGGUAAGUGAUCGUUGCAAUGCCCUUCGAAAUUUAGAAUACAGGCCUUGAGCAUAUCCUCCAGUGUGCAAAUAGUUCGUUCUGAUUGUCCAUCUGUUUGAGGGUGAAAUGUUUUGCUGAGGGACAAUUUUGUUCCCAUUACUUGCUGAAAACUUGAUCAAAACCGAGAGGUGAACUUAGGGUCCUUGUCUAAUACCACUGUCACUGGAACUCCAUGUGGUCUGACUAUCUCCCGGAUAUAGAUUCUUACUAGCUUGUCUAAGGGGUUGGUCAUUUUGAUAACCAAGAAGUGAGAGGAUUUGGUGAGUCGGUCAACAAUUAUCUAGAUUGCAUCAUGCCCUGAGAGUACCUUACGUAAUCAUGUUACAAAAUUCAUAGUGAUAUAUUCCAAUUUCCAUUCCAGUAUUGGAAACGGCUGAAGUAGUCUACUUGAACAUUGAUGAUCUGCCUUAACCUACUGACAUACAAGACACUUGCAGACAAAAUCGAAAAUUUUUCUUCUCAUACUAUUCUACCAGAAUCGGAGUCGCAUGCUUUGAUACAUCUUAGUACUUCCAGGAUGUACAAUAAACUUUAAACUGUAAAACUUUGUCUUGAUAUCCCCUUUUUAUUUCACUGUCAUUUGGAACACACACUCUGUCCUGAAACCUGAGCAACCUAUUAGUAGAGACUCAAAAUUCUCGAUUUACACCUUGUUCUGUAUCUUUUCCAAGAGCUACUAGAGUAGCAUCAAUCAGUUAGGCUUUUUUUAUCCCUUGAAUCAAUUUAGGUUGAACAACUAAAUGGGCCAAGCAUGUGGCCCUUUUCAAAUCGUGAACCUGUAUCUGUUGCAUAGCCUUUAUUACCCUACAUUCAAAAACUAAUACGUGAGCUAACAUACCCGUACUUUUUCUGCUGAGUGCGUUGGCUACCACAUUGUCAUUGCUUGGGUGAUAUAAAAUCUUACAAUCGUAGUCUUUGAGGAGCUCUAUCCAACGCCUUUGAUGCAUGUUGAGAUCCUUCUAAGUGAAUAUAUAAUUCAAGCUCUUAUGGUCUAUAUAAAUCUCAAAAUUCUUCCCAUACAAGUAGUGGUGCCACGUCUUCAAGGCGUUGAUAAUAAUAGCAAGUUCUAAGUCAUGGGUGGGGUAAUUCUUUUCAUGACUUUUCAACUUUCUGCACCCAUAAACUAUGACUUUUUCGUGCUGUAUUAGAAUACAGCCCAACCCUAAGUAGGAAACAUUAUUGUACAUUGUGUAUCAACCUGUCCUAUUCGGUAGAGUUAAAACUAACGCGGUAGUCAAUUACUUCUUAAGUUCUGUAAAGCUCAUUUUAUAGUCAUUAUUUUGCUCAAACUUGAUGUUCUUCUUCGUAAACUGGGUCAAGUGGGCGGUUAGGCUUGAAAACCAUUCCAUAAACUUACGGUAAUAAUCUGUCAUCCCUAAAAAGCUAUGAAUCUCUUUAACUGAAGUCAAUUUCUCCUAACUAAUUACUGUCUCAACCUUCUCGAGAUUCACUGACACCCCAUCCUUUGAUAUUAUGUGCCUUAGGAAGAUAGUCUGCUCAAGUUAAAAUCCACACAUGCUCAAUUUUGUAUAUAGCUUCUUUUCUCAGAGAACCUGUAAAACUGGAGUCAAGUGCUGAGCGUAUUCCUCUCUAUUUUUUGAAUAGAUCAGGAUAUCAUCAAUAAAUAUUAUAAUGAACUGAUUUAAGAACUACCUGAAAACCUUAUUCAUCAAGUCCAUAAAAAUGGCUGGUGCAUUGGUUAACCCAAAUGGUAUGAACAUGAACUCAUAGUGUCCAUACUGGGUUUUAAAGGUCGUCUUAAGAUGUUCUCUGCUAUGAUUUUUACCUGAUGGUAAUCUGAACACAAGUCAAUCUUGGAGAAACCCUAAGCACCCUGUAAUUGCUUGAAAAGAUCAUCGAUCUUUGGGAGAUGGUACUUGUUCUUGAUUAUGAUCUUGUUCAACCCCCUGUAGUCAAUACGUAACCUCAAGGACCCAUCCCUUUUUCUUACAAAUAUGACUCUGGUACCCCAACUAAAUAUAUUAUAUCGGAUGAACUCGCUAUCCUACAAUUGCUUGAUCUGGUUUUUCAGUUCUUCCAUCUCAACAUGACUCAUACGGUAAAGGGCAACUGAAAUGGGCUGGGUGCCAUACUGAAGAUCUAUGGUAAAUUCAACUUUCAUAUUCGCCGGCAGUCCGGCUAAUUCAUCAGGAAAUACAUCUGAAAAUUUUCGACCAUAGAAAUCUUUUGAAUGCAAAUUUCUUAGGCUUGCCCUAUACCAUGUCUAGGUUGGCUUAAGCAUCUUAUUGGGUGAGGGUGUAGAUUCUGCCUUGAAUUGGAGAUCUAGCCUGAUUCUGAUUUCGCGGGCACUUUAUCACGUAGUGCUGGACACUUCCACAUGUGCGGCAGGUAUUGUUAAGGUGAUAGUAGAGUUGGUCCCCAUGAUCUUUACCACAAUGCUGACAAGUCAUGUUGUAUCUUGUUGUUGGGAACUGAGAAAAAGCUUGAGUUGUAGGCCUAAGUCUCUUAUUCUGCUAAAUCGGUACAGUAGGUGCUGGCCUGUAGUGUGGAACCGAGGGUCUGAAAUUGCCCACUACUGGAGGAAAGAUGCGAAGGUUUCUCUCUAUCAGUUAUGCCUUGGCUAGAACUAUUGAGUAGGUGCUGAGCUCGAAUACAUAUAGUUGUUGUUUGAUCUCAAGAUAGAGGCCUCACUUAAACUUUCUUGCCUUUUUGUAUUCGUCCAUUAUGCUCUCAGGAGAAUAUCGGACCAACUCUAAAAAUUUUUGGACAUACUCAGACAUUGUCAUCUCACCAUGGAUUAGAUAUGCAAACUUCAUCUCCUUCAAAUGUCGAAGAUGCUCUAGGAGAUACUCUACAUUGAAAGCUACUGGGAACUGUUCCUAACUGACCGAAAUGGAUAGGGUCACUUGCUUCAACUGCCACCAAUAACCUGCCUCACCCAUGAGCAUGUAGGUAGCAAGUAUGAUCUUUUGUUUGGGAACCACCCUAAGAAAUACAAAUGCCUUUUUUGUCUAUAUUAACCAAUAUUCGGCAUCUCUGAAAGUAGAUGCCCCUACAAAAGUAGAUGGGUUAAGUCUUUUGUACUUCUUAAUGUAGCUUGAGUCCAUCACGGGCAGAACUGGGUCCUAUUGAAAAGGGACUAGACUAUGCUAGGAAGUGGUUGGGUGGCCCUGUUGCGGCACCUGGUUGUAUGAUGGGGGCACCGGAUUAUACUGUGGCGGUGUCAGAUGAUACGAUGGAGGAGCAGAGUUGUACCGGGAUGGCAUUGGAUCUUCUCAUUGUAGGGGUGGCUCAUACUGUGGCAGUGAUGGAUGCUCAGGCAGCUCCCUCCUCUCUUUCCGAGCCUGCUGAGUAUAGAUAAGUCUCUCUAGUAUCUCGAAGAGCCGAUCGACAUCCUCUCGAAGCGACCCAUCCCAGACUGCCUUGUUUAGUGGGGUCUUCCUCU
RNAcentral lists this long non-coding RNA (5868 nucleotides) under Carica papaya (papaya). Its description in RNAcentral is "long non-coding RNA (CPAP_LNC008868)". Lineage: Eukaryota; Viridiplantae; Streptophyta; Magnoliopsida; Brassicales; Caricaceae. The record is from RNAcentral.